Molecule: ribosomal RNA, 455 nt
Filed under: uncultured Rhodocyclaceae bacterium
Lineage: Bacteria; Pseudomonadati; Pseudomonadota; Betaproteobacteria; Rhodocyclales; Rhodocyclaceae
Description: bacterial SSU rRNA
Rfam family: Bacterial small subunit ribosomal RNA
Source: RNAcentral
AAGCGGUGGAUGAUGUGGUUUAAUUCGUAUGCAACGCGAAAACCUUACCUACCCUUGACAUGUCCGGAAUCCCGAAGAGAUUUGGAGUGCUCGCAAGAGAGCCGGAACACAGGUGCUGCAUGGCUGUCGUCAGCUCGUGUCGUGAGAUGUUGGGUUAAGUCCCGCAACGAGCGCAACCCUUGUCAUUAGUUGCCAUCAUUUGGUUGGGCACUCUAAUGAGACUGCCGGUGACAAACCGGAGGAAGGUGGGGAUGACGUCAAGUCCUCAUGGCCCUUAUGGGUAGGGCUUCACACGUCAUACAAUGGUCGGUACAGGGGGUUGCCAACCCGCGAGGGGGAGCUAAUCCCACAAAGCCGAUCGUAGUCCGGAUCGCAGUCUGCAACUCGACUGCGUGAAGUCGGAAUCGCUAGUAAUCGUGGAUCAGCAUGUCACGGUGAAUACGUUCCCGGGUCUU